AAACGCUACGGCAUGAUCUAUGUUGAUCGUGACAAUGAAGGAAACGGAUCCAUGAAGCGGUAUAAGAAAGAUUCCU
This 76-nucleotide transfer RNA is filed under the name Bacillus subtilis subsp. subtilis str. BSP1. Its description in RNAcentral is "tRNA-Ala". Lineage: Bacteria; Bacillati; Bacillota; Bacilli; Caryophanales; Bacillaceae. The record is from RNAcentral.